This is a long non-coding RNA of Maniola jurtina (meadow brown), 117 nucleotides long. RefSeq lists it as uncharacterized. Lineage: Eukaryota; Metazoa; Arthropoda; Insecta; Lepidoptera; Nymphalidae. The transcript is spliced from 2 exons. The record is from RefSeq and is a predicted model, not a curated record.
UUCUGUUGUACACAAUCUUCACACUAAACUAAAUUGUCAGUCUAAAUCUAGCACUAUCCUUUUCCGCAUGGAGCAUAAUGAAAGGGAUAGCAAUUCAUUUUGAACUGUCAUUUUAGU